RNAcentral lists this transfer RNA (62 nucleotides) under Ictidomys tridecemlineatus (thirteen-lined ground squirrel). RNAcentral describes it as "Spermophilus tridecemlineatus (thirteen-lined ground squirrel) tRNA". It matches the Rfam family "tRNA". From Rfam's summary of the family: Transfer RNA (tRNA) molecules are approximately 80 nucleotides in length. Their secondary structure includes four short double-helical elements and three loops (D, anti-codon, and T loops). The record is from Rfam by way of RNAcentral. Lineage: Eukaryota; Metazoa; Chordata; Mammalia; Rodentia; Sciuridae.
GGGAUUGUGGCUCAGUGGUAGAGUGCUUGCCUAGCAAGCAGGGGGCACUGGUGUCAAUCCUC